CUACAGCUUAACUGUAGAAUUGCCAUUGAAACUGAAUUUCUUGAAUCUAAUUGAAGUAGGCGGAAUAUGACAUGUAGCGGUGAAAUGCUUAGAUAUGUCAUAGAACACCGAUAGCGAAGGCAGCUUACUAAGUUAGUAUUGACGCUAAUGCACGAAAGCGUGGGGAGCGAACAGGAUUAGAUACCCUGGUAGUCCACGCCGUAAACGAUGAUUACUCGCUAUUGGCGAUAUACUGUCAGUGGCUAAGCGAAAGUGAUAAGUAAUCCACCUGGGGAGUACGAUCGCAAGGUUGAAACUCAAAGGAAUUGACGGGGGCCCGCACAAGCGGUGGAGCAUGUGGUUUAAUUCGAUGAUACGCGAGGAACCUUACCAGGUCUUAAAUGCAUAACGAACAGUUGGGAAACCAACCUUUCUUCGGACGGAAUGCAAGGUGCUGCAUGGUUGUCGUCAGCUCGUGCCGUGAGGUGUCAGGUUAAGUCCUAUAACGAGCGCAACCCCUAUUCUUAGUUGCCAGCGGUUCGGCCGGGGACUCUAAGAAAACUGCCAGUGCAAGCUGUGAGGAAGGUGGGGAUGACGUCAAAUCAUCACGGCCCUUACGACCUGGGCCACACACGUGCUACAAUGGUAGGUACAAAGGGCAGCCACUUGGCGACAAGGAGCUAAUCUCUAAAACCUAUCUCAGUUCGGAUUGGAGUCUGAAACUCGACUCUAUGAAGCUGGAAUCGCUAGUAAUCGCGCAUCAGCCAUGGCGCGGUGAAUACGUUCCCGGGCCUUGUACACACCGCCCGUCAAGCCAUGGAAGCUGGGAGUACCUGAAGUCGGUAACCAUAUAGGAGCUGCCUAGGGUAAAACUAGUAACUGGGGCUAAGUCGUAACAAGGUAACCGUA
RNAcentral lists this ribosomal RNA (888 nucleotides) under uncultured bacterium. Its description in RNAcentral is "bacterial SSU rRNA". It matches the Rfam family "Bacterial small subunit ribosomal RNA", at positions 602 to 1504 of the family's 1533-position model. The record is from RNAcentral.